UGGCACUCAUUCAACAGUUGCAUACCCCUUCGUCACGACUCACGAGGCUCAGGCGGACAAAGGCCCCGAGGUUCUUCUCCCCACCGCCCCGCCGCCGCCGCCGCCGCCGCCGCCCUCACACACACACCCCACCCUAUACAGGCGAACUCCGCCGCAGCAGCAGGGGACCCCUAUGGCGAGCACCAUUGGCGGUAGCGGCAGUUCUGGAGCCCGUCGUUCCCGGGAGCGGGGGCUAGCGUUCGGGAGUGUGGAGCAAGCUGAGCAUCCCAGGGCGGUCAAGAGGGCUAGGGUUUCGGCUGGUGCUUCGCGCUCGGGUGUUAGUUCAAGUGGAAAAGAUGGAGUGCUUACAAUAUUCCGCUUCAUGUUGACAAAUCAUAUGAUGAAAUCAUCAAGAGGUUAUGUUCGACAAGAACUUCUAACUGAGGCUCAACGCCUUGAAGCAGUGCACAAGGCAGUUGAGAAGAUAAUUGACUACCAUCAACAACAGAUUCCAGAAACUGAAAAGUCGAUUGAACAGUAUAUAUGUCAGAAUGAAAUGCAAAUCAAGGAGUGUCUGAAGAGACAUGUGCAACUGUUUUGGAAGGAGUCUUCGCGUUGAAGUCUGCCUGUCAAUUGCUUGACAUGUUCAAGCAUAAAAUUAAAUGGAUUUUCUUAAUGCACAACAUGGCAUUGAAAUGUGCUUGCUGACCAGGAGAGUAAUGGCAUUUGUUUUCACUUGAUGGACCUAAAGUAGCAGGUAUUUACAUCUUUUGGAUAUUUAUUAUAUUAUUUGCAUGAUUCACUGUAUCUGCAAUACUGUAGAGGUGUACCAGGCUAACCUUUAUAUUUUUUGGUCCUGCAUUGGGAAAGUCUUAAUGAGCGUUUAAUUCUCAGAAUACUGCAGCAACUAGUAAUUAUUAUUUUACUGUUAAAGAACAUCCAUCGUUCUUUGUUUAAAAGAAUAUCCGUAUGUUCUCUGUUCAUUUCAACGUUGGUUCACAUGUUUUGCAAAGACUCGAGUCAUUAGGUUUAUACCUGCUGAGGCUGGAAUGCUCUUCUCACCCUGCUGGUCCUGGACUGGAUCGGAUCCCCUUCAAAUCAAUAGACUGGGUAGGAAUGAGUUGGUAUUGAUCCAGAGUUUUCUGACCUGUCAAAAUCAAUUAAUGAGUUUUAUUGUGCGUGAUGUAUAACAUUACAAGUCAGUAUAUUGAACAGUGUUUCAUGUUCAUUCUUCCAGAAUGCACAAACAACGUUUCGUCAUUUGCACAUCUUUGCAUUAAUAGAUAGGUGAAGCAAACAUACUUACAAGAGUUGUAUGGUCUAGGAAAUGAACCUGCUUUUUUUUCGAGAGUACGCAAUCGCGUACCUUAUUUUGAUAGAAGGCAAAAGUAUUUUUUACAAGAACUGAUACAAUGCUGCGAACAGCAAGAUCAGAAACUCCCUCCCUCCAACUAGCCUAAGCUACUCUCUCGCUGAUUUGCCACCCUCCAAAACCUGCAAUGUUCCAGUGCUUCAUCUCAUCUAAAAUCCUAUUGGCCAACUCCAUAGCCGUACAUUGCACUCUAAUGUUGUUGAAUACAUGUGAAUUCCGUUGCUUCCAUAGUGACCAAACCGUGAGAAUCACAAAGGCAUCGAAGCCCCUUCUUUCUUUGUGGUGAAAGCAUGCUCUGGCUCGCAACCACCAAGCCUCCAGUUGAUCAUCCAUGUUGGGUUGUAGGGCUGACGCCCAGCCUUGAGUAGACAGUUGUACCACACCUCUCUAGCAUAAGCCACUGAAUCAAGACAGACAAAAUAUGAUGACUUUGGUCUUGCAGGCCGUGGCGCUCCCUUCGAUGCGAAGUCCAAAUUCUAUGUUUUUUUUUGCGUAGAAGUCCAAAUUCUAUGUUGAGCUGCAUGCCACACAAUUUUUUUACAUUUCAUAGGCGCCUUUGACUUCCAUAUGCAAUCUGACAGCGGGAACCUCUCUGAUCCCUGACAAAGCAUCACAUAGGUUGACCUUGCAGAGUAGUUGCCAGAACCAGAGCACAGCCAGGAAAACUCAUCUGACACAUCUCUGUCUCUCUGCAUGCAGUUGAUCAGCACCCAGAGUCUCACGCGUUGCAUGCAACCCUCCUGAGAUAGCUCACCUGACAUGUCUCCUAUCCAUCUAUUGCCGUUGUGACCAUCAUAUACUGUUCUGGCACUCAUGUUCCUAGUGCCAACAAGCCGCAGCACUUGUGGAGCAAUGUCUUGUACUGAAAACCCAUAUAUCCAUCGAUCCUUCCAAAACGAUCUAGUUUCCCAUUGCCCACCUUAAUUCUGACCAAACUUCGGAACACCUCAGCCAUCAUCCUUCAUCAUUGGCAAACCUUGCCACUAUCUGCUCUGAUCCGUCCUUCUAAAAAAAAAAAAAACGAGACCAACCUAGGCACUAGCACCCGUUGGCAUUUUUAUAGAAGAAAACUCCUGAGCACCCGCCGAACCCAAGGUUCGAACCCGGGUGGGCAGCGUGCGCUCCCGCACGCCUAGCCACCAGACCGACGGUCUGCUCUGAUCCGUCCUUCUCAACCAUUCCCAUCUCGUCUGCAAGGCGAUGGUAGAUUUUUCACUCCAAGCCUUCCAAAGUAAAAGGGUUUGCAAAUCGCUUGUCAAGCGGCAUUGUCCUCCAUUGACAGUAUAUUUACCUGCCCAGAAAAAGGCUCGUGCCCACUUGUCCACCUCCUGCCAACACAGGCAUAAUGACAUUUUCUAGACAAUGAUAUUUUGAAAAUGAUUUGGUUACUUCAAACUUUUUUCUUGUGCGAGAUUGAGCAUUUUGUAUGCACAAGGUUUUUUUUUUUAAAUACUCCCUCUGUUCCAAAAUGUAUAAAUGGUAUCGUUGCGUUCAUCUUGCAAAUCUCUCUUAUUUCAUAUAUAUUUAUGCAAAUUUUGUAGACAUAUUAUCGGUAUAAAUAUUAGUAAAAGUUAUAAGUUGUUGACCAGCGGAAUUUAAGGGUGCCUUGUAUUUUGGGAAGGAGGGAGUAUCUAUCUUAUUUAUCAAUGUUUUCCUUUGGUUUGUGGAGUUUAUUUUUGCUACUGAACAUAAUUGUUAGUGAGUUAUACUGAGGUGAGCAAUCAUGUAUGUUUCUUGUCAGCACACAUGUGUCCUAUUUGGAUAUCUCUCCAACUUGAGAAGAUACAAUUUUGAUAUCCAGCAGUUUUUAUCUGUUGACAGUGAAUUAUAACUUCUUCCUUCAAGGAUAAAUUUUAGUCAUAUUUCCUUCAAAUAAGAUCACCACAUCCUUCAACGAAAAGUCGCCAUUGAGGGUUUCAACUAGCAAUAGCCUUUAGUGAAGGUGAAUGAACUGACAGCAAAUUGCACACACUAAUUUCCUUUCUAUUUGGGCCGAAACAAAUGCAUAUCUUGGAGGUAUUUUUUUUUUGGGUACAUUAUAGUCUGUCAUCAUACUUGCAUGGGCCAAUGGAUGAAUCUACUCUGGUUUGAAGACCAAGGGCUUCUUAUUGUAGUGUUGCCAGUGUAAUAAUGAUGCAGCUUUCAGUAUGGUGAACAGGAAAGCUAGUGUUAACAUUGUUUUAAGUUCUAACAUGGUACUUUUUCACUGGCAUACUGGCGGUAGAUGACUGAGGGGUUCCACACAAAAGAAGUAUCUACAUUGGCUAGUUUUAGACCUCAAACACUAGGCUAUCUGGUGGCAAGCAGUACCAGAGAAUACUUAGGUACAUCGAGUAUGUGCCUGAGCAGUAUGAUCAUUGUCUUUUUUCAUGAAGAAAGUAAGAACCAGCAUGAUCAUUGUAGCUCUCAUUCAGGUUGAGCAACUUCAGGAGCGGCAAAGGUUUUCCGAGUAACCAGUACGUCAUUUUGCUCCCCCAUCACCUAUUAGUGAUCUAUUACUAUAUAUGACUUGUGUGGAUGAUUACUCUUGCACAAUGUUAUUGCUGCUAACAUGAUUUUUUGUAAGUAUAUUACUACAAAAUGUAUGAUAUGUCUGGUCUACACAGUAGUUAGAAAUUGCAAGACAAUUCUUCCCGACUUUCACAUCUUGGUUGCCCAAGAUACCGCUACAGGUGCUAAGAGUUUGACGUGGAAUCUCUAAAACAGAUGAGCACCUCUGUCCUGUAUGUACUUUGCUAUUUGGUUCAUUUCGCUUAUGGGGUGCUUAUGCCUUACUGAUCAACCUGACUCCCCUCCACAUGUUCAAAUUGUCCACACAGACUGUUCAACUCUCUGUUCACACAAAUUGUAUGCCACCUCUUUCUUCAGUAUUCUUAGGUUCUUUUGGAAGGGCGAAUAAUGACCAGUUGGCCAUCACCGAUAUCAAUGACUUGGACUUCGUACAUUGAAGCGUAUUUAUCGUAAGUUUGUACUUCAGCUUCCCGCAGGCUGCUUUUGCAGAUGUACUAUGCUUCAUGUAUUCUCCCUGGAUAAAGCAUGAAGCUGCAGGCACCUACAAACCCUGAAGAUCUCUGUCACGUGGCUGCUCAUGUUAAUCUUCUCUUUGUUCUUUUUCUCAAAAAGGAAGACCGCAAAAGUCAUUAUUCUGAAGCUGUAGCUUGUCUUUAUUGCAGUUCAUUUUUUGUGGCAAUGAAGUGUUACGCAACUAGAAGCAAUUACUUGAGGCAAAAUGUUCAUGCCAGACUUUUUUCUACCAUCUUCAGCCCUUAUGGCUCAUGCUUACACAUCACAUCGAUGUGAUUCAGAAGUGUUGCAGUAUGUUGAACAGAAUGUACAGGCAAUUUGAAGUUUGACAUGGUUUGAACAGCAGAUGUAUACUCUCUGUAAUUCUGUACCUUGAUUUCUUGGGGAAAAAACAUAAACUGCCUUGGUUAUCAUGA
Molecule: long non-coding RNA, 4791 nt
Organism: Lolium perenne
Lineage: Eukaryota; Viridiplantae; Streptophyta; Magnoliopsida; Poales; Poaceae
Source: RefSeq, a predicted model, not a curated record